CACACAUGUUAUCUUUUUCCUGCUGUCUUCCCUCCUUUGUGAGGCAGCAGCUGGGCCUGUAACUGCUUUGCCUCCCCCUGGAUUCUCCUCCAGCUCCUCCAACUCCUGGGCCAGGAAAUUCAUGGUCACCGUUUUUCCUCAGCAUGUUGUACUCCCAGUUAUAUAGUUCUUAUAUGUACGAACCACCCAGCAAGCCUUUGAAAAGAGAAAGAGGAAAGAGAAGAAAAUUCUAAUUCAACUCUCCAUAUAGCUAAACAGCUAUCCAACAGACCUAGGUGAAGUCUUCAGCUCUCUGAUUUCCCCGAAGCCAGUGCGCUGGGUCAUGGGACUGGCUGACCUCCCAGCACCACCUACCUCCUCUCUAUGAGAUGCCAUCAGAUCCCACCCAAAGGAGCCAGUCGUCCCUGUGAAACAAUAAGCAAUUCUUACGAGAUACAAGUGGACCUCUGUUACUGUGGCACAGGAAGGCUCGAUAAGAUCUUCCAGCCACAGCAUUCUUUUGUGUCAGCAGACGCAAGUGGGAUGUUCCUUCUGCAGCUCUUACGGAGCAAGAGGAAGCAGGCUUUGAAACACAAUGUUCAUUGAAAUCGGCUUUCAUCUAAGGAAUCCCAUGGUGGCUCCUGGUCCACGCGAUGUGCAUUCUGUCUGCAGCUGGGCUCUCCUGAUGCAUUUCCGUUGUUUGUUCUAGGGGUAAGGCAGCACCUUUAUGAGACUCACUCUUACUAGGUAAAGGGCAUCACAUUGUGCUAGGCAGAGCAUUCUGUGUCAGGAUGUCUCCAGUGAGUCUGGAGCCUAGAAGGAACAUUUAAAAAAAAAAAAAAAAAAACAAUCCUCAGCCAUCCUGGCUCACGGAUGAAGCACUAGCUCUGUCAGGAGAGGAACAUGAAGCCGCCCAGAUGACUCUUGGGCAGUACAUGCAUGCUUGGUGAUUUUAGGAGAAGGAAAUGUUUGUUGCUUUAGCUAUUACAGCAGGCACGAUGCCACAGGCCAUAAAUAGUGGUAAGUAACUAUGGUUUGAGUGCUGCAGGCCCAAAAGAACCUUCCCCAAAGCCAAUUGGUCUCUAUUAUUCCAAUUCUGGCUCUCAAAGGACAAAAAAUGAAGAGGAGGAAGUGAUCCACAGUGUCAAAUCAUAGGUAAGAAGUUUCUCCAUUCUGCUGUCCUAGUGGAAUAACAAUUCAUCUUCUUUUCAGGGAAAACUAUUUUGGAUUCAAUAAAGAGUCUCUCUGAUUAAGACGAGGUCUAAAUCAAUACCUGGAGAAACAAGCCAACACUGUUUAGUCCAUUUUUAUUUCUUCCUAGACACCUCAUCCUAUAUAUUGCUGCACUUCCUUCUCUGCUCCACUCCAUCUGGACUUACCAACCUAUAAUGCUAAGGUAGUUGAACAAUUAAUUCGCAAAAUGGGUAGAAGAGUGAACAUAAACCUUUUUAUUUCAUGGCAUUUGAACUCUGCAUAUAUUUUUUUUUCCUUUGGCUCUCAAAAUAAUCUGGCAAAAUUCGGUGGGCAUUGUCUAUUUCAGCAGUGGUAGGAAUCCGCAGGGAAAGAGAACUUGGUUAGAGACCUUGGAUCUCAUAAAGAACUGGCAAGCAGUACAUGAAGGAGAACUCAUGUGUGGGGUUCCUGGCUAAGGUCCUGUUGAUCAGGUUGCGUCCCCUAGACAUGUGAACAAGUGAUCAGUCUCCAAUCUAACCUUCAGGGCUGACUUUCAUCACCACCAAGGGCUAAAGUUCUACAAGUGUCUGUGUGUUUAUGGGAAGGUAGAUGUGACAGAUAUACAAGGAGAUACUGAUACUGGAAACCUUGAAAAACCUGGAGGUUAUUUCUUGGAAUCCACUGUACUCAUUCUAAUCUAAAAAGAACAGACAGACGUCAGUUUCGUAAGUGACACAGGACAUGAGAAAAUAACCCAGGCAGUUAAACUUUCCCAAGAGGGAAGUAAUAAAAAGAGUCCCAAGAAAUCAAAAUUUUAGCUCAACCCCAUGAAGAAGACCCAAAACUGCUCUCUAAUGGCUUAUUUUUAGCUGAGCUAACCAUAGAACUUUUGAAUAUUUGGAAAUUUUGUGGAGUCUUCUCUGGGAUGUUCUUGGGAAAGGAUUUGCCCAGACAUAGGUACAGCAAAAAUUUCUGGUGACAUUAUCCCCACAUCUUGACUCGAAGAGCUUAUUCCCGAUAGUAAUACAGCAUAAUGAUUCAAUCUAUAUACAUCAUGAAAUGAUAAUCAUAAUGCAUUUAAUGAACAUCCAUCAUCUCACAUAGACACAAAAUUAUCAAAAUGGAAAAAUCUGUUUCUUCCUUGUAAUGAGAACUAUUAGCUUUUACUCUUUCAACAACUUUCAUAUAUAACACACAACAGUGGUCAUUAUAUUUAUCAUGUUAUGCAUUAUAUCCCUAGUACUUAUUUAUCUUGUAACUGGAAGUUUUUAUCUUUUGACUACCUUCACCCAAUUUCCCUGACCCCAACCCACUGCCUGUAAUAACCACAAACCUUUUUUUUUUUUUUUCUGUGAGUUUGUUUGUCUUUUGGUUGGUUGGUUGGAAUGUAAUUGAUCUUCAACACUGUCUUUGUUCCUGGUACACAACAUAGUGAUUCAUCAGUCCAUUUUAAUUUAGGCAAAAAAUAUAUACUGAAUGCUUGCUGUGUGCCAGGAAUCUAUAACUUGCAACCAAUAAAAAGAACAUCACAGCAAUUAUAUAAAUAGAUGAUUUGGGUAUAAUAUAGUAUAUGCUGGGUAGUGUGAUAUAUCUUGGGGUUAGCAUUGGCCCCAACCAGGACCCUAACUUGCCUAAUGAAGGAAUAGGAAAUUCUUCUAAAGGAGGUAAUGCCUGAGAUGAUACGUAAGGCCUGAAAAGUAAUUACUGAGAUAAAGAGGAUAGGGAAGGAGAUUCUAAACAGAAGGACUAAUAUGAGAAAAGUAAGGGGGACUGAAACACAAAGCACAUUUGAAAAACUAUAAAUAACUCGAUAUUUCUGAAAUGUUGACAGUAAGGCAGAAAUGGGGCAGGGUACAUCUGUAGGGAUAAGGCACGGAGAUUAUUCUAAGAUUCUAAAGCUUCUGUUAGGAUAUAGAUAAAUAAACCAGAGGAGGAUUUAGUUCUUAGUAAUUUCUAUUCUAAGACUCCAGAAAUUAGAUUAUGUGAGGCUAGGGAUCAAAGGAACUGAAAAGGAGAGUUCCCUGGUGGCUCAGUGGGUUAAGGAUCUAGGCAUGCCCCCCCCCAAAAAAAAGGCAAGACUGAUGUUAUCCUAGGAUCAAAAGAUUUACUUUAAUUUAAAGUGAUGAAAGGCAACUACAAUUGAAGGCAGCGGUAAAACAUUAUUGACAUUUUGGUCAGUUGGUUAUGGCCUCUCAGUGGAACUUUAAAGAGCAUUUAGCUAUGUGAUUCAUUUUUCGUUCUCCCUUAGAAACCAACAGGACAUCUACAAAGGCCUGGGUCAUGGCUGCAAUUCUCUGCACCUAAGAAUAAAUGAGAAAGAAAUAAGAACACAAUAAAAGAAAGAGAAGUGGAGGAUCAAACUCUGCAGGUUAUGUGUAGCGUAUUUUUAGUGACCUCGAAUUAUGGGAUUAAAAAUGGAAUGAAAAAGAGGUGAUUUUGAAGGUAGAUGAUUGAAUACAAGCUCUUGAACUUGCUCUAUGGGAAGGUAACAAAAGCAGAGAUGACAUAAAUUCAUGUGUAUUUAGAAAAUCAGGAACAAGGAAGAAUAUUGAGACCAUUCUUUGGGUGGGGAACUGAUAGAAACUACUAUUAUUAAAAUAAUUAAAAUAAUAAGGCAAGAAAAACCUUUGUUAAAACAAUAAAUAGGAGGGUCCACAAUCCCUGGGAGAGAAGGGGCUUGAGGGUCCCUCAGUGUCUCACCUCCCCUUCCAUUCUUCCCAAACCUCAUCUCUUAAUCACUUUGCAAAGUCAAGAAGCAGACAGCUCUGGAGCAGCCAAGGCCAACUACAUAAUUUGUAGGGAUCAGGACAAAACGAAAAUGUAGAAGCGUUUAGACAAAAAGCAGAAGACAAUGUGCUAUCUGAGGUAUUAGACACAAAGCUUUUUUUCCUUUCUUUCACAGCCUCUUCCUAGACUUGUCAUGGUAUUUUAUUAAUCUUGUAAUGUAAUGCCAUUAUAAAUGAAGAAAAUAUAAACAUUUAAAUUCUUUUCGUUCAUCUUUAAAUUGUGUAUGCCAUCUGAAAUACAAAUAUAAAAGCACUUAAAUCCUGUGUAGAGUCAUCAGUAUUGCCUAAUUUGUAUUUUGUAGCUCAUACAUGAUUAUGUAUUUUGUGGAAGAGUGAAAAUGCAACAGGAUACUAGCUCAACUAUUUUAGUUCACUUCUCAGUACCCGCAUGUUCUACUAACACGCUCUGCCUUCAGCUAUAGACCAGAAGGAGGACUAAAAGGAAAAGUACUAAUGGAUCACUUUAUCUUUCUGUUUCCUUUCUGUCAUGAUUUCCAGCACACACGAUCAGGUAAAAGGGAACUAAACAUGAGUAAAAGGAUAUGAUAGAGUUCCUUGGUUGUUCGUGUUUCUUAGGAUGCCAUUGUUUUCUGUCUACAUUUGAGAGGAAAGCGUGUUCUCUCAGGGUUUUCAGACUGGCCCUCCCCGCUUACUCAGUCAUAGUCCUAACACACUUGCCUUGUAUUUACUUUGAGGUCUCGGUGAAUUUCCUGUGGUGUGCUCAGAAGUCAUGAUGAACACUCAAUGCGAAUGGGGCAAAAAGGAAUCCCAGCAAUCGUGCAUAUCUUGCUGGGAUCAUGCAUAACUUGCUGAGAAGUAUCCUAUCUUCUCUGCUCGGGCACAUGUUCCAUUGUUCUGCUUGGUUUCAUUUAAAGAAC
Long non-coding RNA from Sus scrofa (pig), 4816 nucleotides. RefSeq lists it as uncharacterized. NCBI's taxonomy places the organism in Eukaryota, Metazoa, Chordata, Mammalia, Artiodactyla, Suidae. The record is from RefSeq and is a predicted model, not a curated record.